UACGUAGGGGGCAAGCGUUGUUCGGAAUUACUGGGCGUAAAGGGCGCGUAGGCGGCAUGGCAAGUCGGGAGUGAAAGCCCGGGGCUCAACCCCGGAGCGGCUUUCGAAACUGCCAAGCUAGAGUACGGAAGGGGCAACUGGAAUUCCCAGUGUAGCGGUGAAAUGCGUAGAUAUUGGGAAGAACACCGGAGGCGAAGGCGGGUUGCUGGGCCGAUACUGACGCUGAGGCGCGAAAGCCAGGGGAGCAAACGGG
RNAcentral lists this ribosomal RNA (253 nucleotides) under uncultured bacterium. RNAcentral's name for it is "partial 16S ribosomal RNA". It matches the Rfam family "Bacterial small subunit ribosomal RNA", at positions 524 to 776 of the family's 1533-position model. The record is from RNAcentral.